Molecule: ribosomal RNA, 468 nt
Filed under: uncultured bacterium
Lineage: Bacteria
Description: partial 16S ribosomal RNA
Rfam family: Bacterial small subunit ribosomal RNA
Source: RNAcentral
GACGAACGCUGGCGGCGUGCUUAACACAUGCAAGUCGAACGGAAAGGCCCUGCUUUUGUGGGGUGCUCGAGUGGCGAACGGGUGAGUAACACGUGAGUAACCUGCCCUUGACUUUGGGAUAACUUCAGGAAACUGGGACUAAUACCGGAUAGGAGCUCCUGCUGCAUGGUGGGGGUUGGAAAGUUUCGGCGGUUGGGGAUGGACUCGCGGCUUAUCAGCUUGUUGGUGGGGUAGUGGCUUACCAAGGCUUUGACGGGUAGCCGGCCUGAGAGGGUGACCGGCCACAUUGGGACUGAGAUACGGCCCAGACUCCUACGGGAGGCAGCAGUGGGGAAUAUUGCACAAUGGGCGGAAGCCUGAUGCAGCAACGCCGCGUGCGGGAUGACGGCCUUCGGGUUGUAAGCCGCUUUCGCCUGUGACGAAGCGUGAGUGACGGUAAUGGGUAAAGAAGCACCGGCUAACUACGUG